This 7935-nucleotide long non-coding RNA is filed under the name Aquilegia coerulea. Its description in RNAcentral is "long non-coding RNA (ACOE_LNC000177)". Lineage: Eukaryota; Viridiplantae; Streptophyta; Magnoliopsida; Ranunculales; Ranunculaceae. The record is from RNAcentral.
CUGCACUUACAUCCACUGUGAUGUCUCCGAUGAAAACCAAGUCAAGUCCAUUGUCGAAUCAACUAUCAAGAGUUAUGGACAUCUAGACAUCAUGUUCAGCAAUGCAGGAACUGUAAACCGCAACCAACCCCUCUUGGAACUUGACCUGACAUUGAUGGACCGUUUGUUUGCUAUCAAUGUACGUGGCAUGGCAGCAUGUGUGAAACAUGUUGCACGUGCAAUGGUGAAAGGUGGGAAAGGAGGAAGCAUUGUCUGCACUGCGAGUGUUGCAGGAAAAAGGGGGAGUGAUGAUGGGAUGCAAGACUACGUCAUAUCAAAAGGUUGGUUAGAACAGGGAGUUGUGAGUUGGGGAAGUAUGGGAUCCGAAUUAAUUGUGUUUCACCAAGUGCACUUGCUAGUUGCUACACCAUUGUUGUUGGAGUUCUUUGGGAUGAAGGAUAAGGAGAGUGCAGAGGAGGCGAUUUUAGGCAACAAUAGCUUGAAAGGAACAGUGUAAUACCCAAGAAUCUGCAGAUUCAGAUGGAGAAGAAGGUUCAGUUGGUUGAACCAAAUGGGCCGAACCGACCCGAUUUCUUUUUUGACCCGUUUUCAUGUUAUAAAAACCAGAUCUGAUUUUCAGCACGAAUUUUCUUAUUAAAAAUCAAUUAAGAAGCUUAAGAAGAAGAAGAAAAACAUUCUAAAACCUAUGGUUUUGAUUGGGUAUUGCUUGCUUACAUUGUUUUGAUUAAUUGGUGGCUUGGAAUUGGAUUUUCUUUCUUGUUUGUGCAUCUUGGUUGUGUUCAUCUUCAAAGGUAAGUUAUAUUACUUGAUGUUUUCUCUUACUUCUUAGAUUAGGUUGAAGUAACCCCUUGUUAGCAUGUUUAAUUCGUUUAUUAUAAUUGAAUUACAUGAUAAAGUAUGAUUUAGUAAGUAGAACUCAAUAAAGUUACGAUCUUGUUGAUAUUUAACUAUGUAUUAAUGCUGAAAUUUAACUUUAAGAACAUAUUAAUGUAGGAAUUGGUGAUUUAAAACAUGUUUAAUGUUAACUUAAUGUUCCAAAGCAUAAUAAAUGAUUAUAUUGCUUAAUUGUACUUUGUAUGAUGAAUAAAGCAUGAUUAUAUUGAAUUAUUUAUUAAUGCUGAAAUUUAUAUUUCAAAAUAUGUUAUAUUGGGUUUGAAUAUUUGACUUGGUAUUGUAGUGUUUGAUUGAACCCAUUGGUUAUGGACUUUCUUACUUUAGAAUUUCCUGAACUUGACAUCAUACUUGUUUAUGUUGUUCGUCAUAUAUAUUUAUAUGGACGAUGAAUGGAAUAGAAUGAUUGGAUUGAACCAUGUGUUGGAUUAAAUUUGGGCGUGUUAAACAAAUUAACACAGGACCAGUAUGAUGGGGAGACGUCCCAGAGUGUUGUCACAUGACAUAGCUCGAUGAGUGUAUGGCUAUGAUGCGUACGACUUGGUGCUACUGCACAACUUUGUAUAUGAAUUUCAUGGAUUGAAAUUGAUGGAUUUGGAUGGACUUGAUGAUUUGGUUUGAGAUUGAAAUUGAUGGACUUUGAUAGAUUGUGUGAUUUGGUUUGAGAUUGAAAAAUUAUGAUGCAGAUAUUAGAAGAUUUAUAAAGUUGGAUUAGAUUAGUAUUUGUCAUGUUAUUUUUAUUGAUUUUAUAUUAUGUUUAGUUAACCCCUUCGGUGCAGGAGAAGUACGUAUGGGUUCAUUAUGGUCGGCUCAGUUUUUUACAAUCUUCACCGAGGUGGAGAAUUGUAGAAAAGUGAUAUGUGGAGGUUACAAGUAAUAGAUUCCUAUUAGGAAUCGGUUUCCUUAUUUGGCAACAAGUGUGGUGGAAUUCUAUUAGGAUUCAAUAAGACUUUCUAAUCUAUUAGAAAUCUAAGUUGUUGUUGAAUUAGGAAUUGGGUUACCAAUUGGAUUAACCAAAGAGGUUAUAAAUAUUGGUGUUGUGUAACCAUAAGAAUUUGAGCAAAGAAGAAAAUAUGUGUGAGGAAACCUAAACUAAGGUUUCAUUAGUUAUUGUGUAGUUCACUUCUCAAUUAUCAAUAAAGCUAUCUCUCUUUGUCCCGUGGAUGUAGGCAUAUUGUCGAACCACGUAUAUUAUUGUGUUUCCGUAUUUCUGCUUUAGUUUAUAUCUUUUGUGUUUGUUUCUUCAUUAAUCAUAUCAAGAUCCUGUGUAUUUAUCAUAACAUAAUCGACCUCGCUUUUGCCUUUUUACAGGAAACAAGUGAGGUUAAAUUACGGAGAGUCCGAUGAGGAUGGAGAGGUUGUUAGAGUUGGAGAUAGUAGUUAGAGUUGCUCUUAGUUUAGAUAUUUCUUUCAGUUAUCAUUUGUAGCCUUCGUGGCAUUUGUUUAUUCAUUUAUCAGUUUUCGGAUAUUUCAGACACUCUUAUUUCUUUAUUUGAUUCUUUAUAUAGAAAUUUGAUUUGUAGACUUCCGCUGUUGUUUAUUUAUUGUUCUUCCAUAUGUUCUGCAUGGAUAUAAGAAUUCGGCUUGGAUGACACGUGACAGUGAUGGAAUCCUAGGGUCCAUGGUGGACAUAUGGUGCAUAUCACGACUCUGGUGUCUGUGCUUGGUCUGAUCAACUAGGUAUGGAUUUCAGGGGCAUUACAAACAGUAUUGAAGGUGAAUCAUGUGGCUGAUGUUGUGUUGUUUCUUGCUUCUGAUCAAUCUGCCUUUGUUACUGGGCAUGAUUUGGUUGUUGAUGGUGGCUUGCUUUGUCGCGUUGGUUCAAAUAAAUUUUUAGAUGAAAAAUAAUUUGUCAGUCACACAGCUUAAAGAUUUCUGUAUUUUUCUAGCUGAUAUAGUAUGUGAACAAGAAUUGUGUCUAAAUUAAGUUUCAUCUGCGUGCUUUCGUGUUUUCGCGUUUAGUAACAGUGGUUACUGAAUGCUCUAAUAGAUCAUCACUUUUGUUAAACUGUACAUCUGUCUACAGGUGUGCUCCAUUAUUGGUAGCAUCUUAGAUUUUUUGUUUCUAGGGUAGCUAAUCUUGGUGCUUCUAAGAAGAACAAUUAUCAUGAACAAUAAGUGUAAGAGAACUCGUAUAUUCUUGAUUAAAAAUUGAUUGCAGUAACACCUACUUUCUAAAGGUUACAAUGUCUUCAGACUCAAGAAACUAAUCUAUGAUUUGUUCCUUUAACUAGAAUAUAAUUACUUACAUGACUAAUUCUAACUUAAACGUUUCAAGUAAAUUGAAUUUAGCAACUAAGCGCCUCCCAAAGCCUUCCCUUUGAGCAUGGUCCAAUUUUGCCAAGAUAUACAAGUUGAUCCUGAGUCCUGACAUUCACUUAAUAACCCCAUAAAUCUUAUAUCGGCUGCAGAGACUCAUGGCAACAAUUACUUUCAGGUAAUUGUGUGACAGAAUUACAGACUUGCUGGAGGGCUGGGAAAUUGUGAUACAGGACAGAGACUGUUUCCUUUAUUCAUUUAUUGCUUGUACAAAUUACUUUUGAUAAAAACAAAUGAAUAAAUAAAGCAUCUUUAAUCACUUUAAACUUACAAUGAAUGACCAGGCUUGUGCAGUUGUGCCUCUUUUAUGGCUGAAAUUUUUGAAGUCACCAAAUUUUUUCAGUGAAUCCCCUGGUAGUUGUGCGUUUUUGUUGCCUUGGAUAAAACAACUCAUCAAAUACAAACCAAGACAAAAUAUCACAGGCAGAUAGAAAUUAUUUACAAACAAAGGCACAUAUGGAAAAAGAAAAAAACUACAUUUUUCCAUCUCACCCAGUCAAACAAGGCCCAACUUGAGCACCAUCAAUUCAACAAACUAGUGACAGCCAGGAAAAAAAAAAUCACAGAAGCAAACUUACAUUUUCCAUCUCACCCAGUCAAACAAGGCCCAAAGUCAUUCCCCUUGACAAGGUACAUGAAGAAAUUUCCAAGAUAAGCCUACAAAAUGCUGACAAUUCAAAAAUCUGAUAUCUUUUAAAAAGCACAACGUUCUUGACAAACUGAACAGAGGAGCUGUCAGUGUGAUGCUCAUGAGAAAGAAUUCCAUUCAAAGUUUGGUGGUCAUAAUUAGAUCUAGAAUUAUCGAGUCUAUGUCCUUCACUUACUGACUUAGAACAAGAUUACAAGAAUUAUUGAGUAAGGACUAUUCUAUGGUCCUUCACUUAUUGAGUUAGAUCUAAAUUUAUUGACAAGUCUAUGCCCUUAAUAGUUAUUCAGGGAAUUCUGGACUGGAGAUGCAUUUCCAUCAAUUUCUAUAAGUAGAUUGCAUUAUAUAGAGAAAUCAAAUAAGCUUUCUGAGAGAAGAAAAAAUGGAAGUAGCUACUCCUAUGAGCAAAAGACUGGAUGGGAAAGUAGCUAUCAUUACAGGUGGUGCGAGUGGAAUUGGCGAAGCCACUGCACGUUUGUUCGCUAAUGAAGGCGCAAGAAUGGUUGUCAUUGCUGACAUCCAAGACAAACUAGGUGAAUCUGUUGCAUUAUCCAUUGGUGCACAUCAUUGCACUUAUAUCCACUGUGAUGUCUCCGAUGAAAACCAAGUCAAGUCCAUGGUCGAAUUAACUGUCAAGAAUUAUGGACAUCUAGACAUCAUGUUCAGCAACGCAGGAAUUGUAAACCGCAACCAAUCCCUGUUGGACCUCGACUUGUCUUUGAUGGACCGUUUGUUUGCAAUUAAUGUACGUGGCAUGGUAGCAUGUGUGAAGCAUGCUGCACGUGCAAUGGUGGAAGGUCAUAAAGGAGGAAGCAUCAUAUGCACUGCGAGUGUUGCAGGAAAGAUGGGAGGUGACGACGGGAUGCAAGAUUACGCCAUUUCAAAAAAUGCAGUGGUGGCGUUGGUUAGAGCAGGGAGUUGUGAGUUUGGGAAGUAUGGCAUCCGGAUUAAUUGUGUGUCACCAGCUGCAGUUGUUACACCUAUGACGAUGGAGUGGUUUGGGAUUAAGGAUAAGGAGAUUGCUGAGGGAGCAUUUUCAAUUCACAGUAGCUUGAAAGGAACAGUGUUGAAGGUGAAUCACGUGGCUGAUGCUGUGUUGUUUCUUGCUUCUGAUCAGUCUGCUUUUGUUACUGGGCAUGAUUUAAUUGUUGAUGGUGGUAUGAUUUGUCGGAUUGGUUCGGAUAACUUUGUUAGUAACAAAUAAUUCUCAAUCACAGGAAUUCAGCAUAAGACUGUGUGAUAUCUUCUAGCUGAUGUAGUGCGUUAAUAAGAAUCGAGAGUUCAAGGCUAAAGUUUAGUCUAUGUGUUUUCGUGUUUUCAAUUUUAAUUACAGUGAUUAAUAAAGGUUGUAGUAGACCAUCCCUUUUGUUCAUCUCUUUGAUGUCAGACCUUGACAACUUAAAUCAUAAAAUGCUAUGUACGGAAGACAAUAAUCCUGCAAGUCACUUCUCAGAAAUACUAGGUUACAGGUAUGCUCCAAUCUCAAUUAUGUAGCAUGUUAGAUUUUUUGUUUCUACACUAGGUUACCUUUGUCCUUCUUUAAACGUCGACUGCAUCAUACUUGUGUUUCUUCGUGUGCAUUAUUGAUAAAGUAAAUGAUUAAACCCCAAAUAUUAAUCAUACAGAAAUGUCAAACUUUCAAAUAAUUGAAAUCAAACCAACAUGCAAUGUAUUAAUGAUCAAACAGAAAUAUCAACAUAUCAGAUCAAUUAACUAUAAUUCAGUAAAGAAUGAAGAGAAAGGUAACGCAACUCACAAAGUGUUCAUCAUUUAAGGUUCCUGAAUCUCUUCUCUUUUCUUCUCAGCUAGCAUCGGUAAGUCCAGCACCACUAAUAAAUACAAUAUAAUAGUACACCCAAAUGCACCUGCCACGAAAUCGAAUGCAGCCUUUUUCAUUGCUUCCAUUGAAGGAAGAAUCAAUGCUGUUCAACAAGAUUGCCUUCCCCAACACACUCAAAAAAUCCUUUAACAACUGCUGCCACCAUUACCAAUGCCUCAGCUUGACUCUCGAAUCCCAAAUCUCAUUUUCAUAGUAUUAGUUUCUUUUGAAUUCAGCAUUAACAAAUCUUUAUUAAAUGUCGAAGGUAAUCCUUUUAUUGACCAAAAGAGAAAACCAAUUGAUCAAAUUCCAAGCAUUUUCAUCACAGAAAUUGCUGCAAUUCUAGCAUAAUUUCAUAAAAGGAUCUUCACUGUGAGACUUUUGGCGUCCUUAAUGGUGAGUUGAAGGUAUUGAAGAAGAGGGGUUUUGAAUGCUGCAAAUCACCAUUAGUUUGUAGUAGUAGUAGUAGUAGAGAGAGAGAGAGAGGGUUUAGGGCUUUUGCAGCAGAGGUGCUUGAUAAAAUCCCAUUCCGAUAUAUACCAUCUGGAUGUUAUGGGACUUAUGGCUCACCAGAUUCGAUGAUGUUAUUUAAAGGUGUUUCACCAAACUUGGACAAAGUCUGCACUCUGCAGCAACAUCAAGUCCUUACUCUGGUUUUGGAUCGGAGGGAAAGCUGCUAACAGAGAUUUAUACAUAUGGGUACCUGCUAAGAAAUUGGGAGAUGGUGCUGUUUGUACCUUUUAUUGUUCUUUGUAUUGCUCAACUCAAGCGCGGUGUGAAAGGAAGCAUGUGUGUACUACAGGUGUCAGUUGGGCUCAGCUAGUAAAACCUCUGGGUGAUGAUACCAGAGGUCUAGGGUUCGAAUCCCACCAGUAUUACCGAGUUACUGAUCUCAUUAAAAACAGGCUUACCAAACCAUUUUGCGAAUGAGCCUGUGGCUCAAUGGUUGCACCCCUCUCACAAAGUGGAGAGGUCGUGGGUUCGAAACAUGUCAACAUCGGAUUGUUGAUAUAAGUUUCCACACGUAAUUUAAAAGGGGUAGGGACCCUCAACCUCGCUUGCCAACCAAAAAAAAAAAAUGUUGGAGGACGGAAAAAGAAGUGAUGAGGGCAUGCAACAUGCAAGACUACAUCAUGUAAAAUAAAAAACGCAGUGCUGGAGUUGUGAGUUGGGGAAGUAUAGGAUCCGAAUUAAUUGUAUUUAAUCAAGUCCAGUUGUUACAUGGAGUACGAAAUUCUUUAGCUCAGGGAAGAGACAAUUAUUUGAGCUGGCCUGUACUAUAUUACAGCUACAAUGGAUCUCAAAUCAACAAUUCCUUGAAUUUAUAAUGCGUACGAAUCUUAGAUAGUUAGAUAUGGCUAGCUGUUGCCAACUUCAAUUGCCAGAAUAGGCAAACAACUAGCAUAUUAUUAGAAUUAUUAACUGGAGGUUGCAAUUCCAAACCAAACCAAUAAUUAAGAGGAAAUUAUGGACUGGAAGGAAUGUACUUCCAUCAGUUCCUAUAAGUAACUUGCAUAUCAAUAUGCACUAUGACAAAAGCCUUUUGAGAGAAGAAAAAAAAUGGAAGUAGCAACUCCUACAACUACAAGUAAAAAACUGGAAGGGAAAGUAGCUAUCAUUACAGGUGGUGCGAGUGGAAUUGGUGAAGCUACUGCACGUUUGUUCGCAAAUGAAGGCGCCCGAAUGGUUGUCAUUGCCGACAUCCAAGAUGAAGUAGGCCAAUCUGUUGCUUCAUCCAUCGGCGCAAAUCAUUGCACUUACAUCCACUGUGAUGUCACUGAUGAAAAUCAAGUCAAGUCUAUGGUCGAAUCAACAGUCCAGAAUUAUGGACAUCUAGACAUCAUGUUCAGCAAUGCAGGAACUGUAAAUCGCAACCAACCCCUCUUGGAGCUCAACCUGUCAUUGAUGGACCGUUUGUUUGCUGUCAAUGUACGUGGCAUGGCAGCAUGUGUAAAGCAUGCUGCACGUGCAAUGGUGGAAGGUGGGAAAGGAGGAAGCAUCGUCUGCACUGCGAGUGUUGGAGGAAAAAAGGGAAGUGAUGAUGGGCUGCAAGACUACAUCAUCUCAAAAAAUGCAGUGGUGGGGUUGGUUAGAACAGGGAGUUGUGAGUUGGGGAAGUAUGGCAUCCGAGUUAAUUGUGUGUCACCAGCUGCAGUCGCUACACCUAUGACGCUGGAGUGCUUUGGGAUCAAGGAUAAGGAGAGUGCUGAGGAAGCAUUUUCAAUUCACAGUAGCUUGAAAGGAAAAGUGUUGAAGGUGA